Molecule: ribosomal RNA, 406 nt
Filed under: uncultured bacterium
Lineage: Bacteria
Description: partial 16S ribosomal RNA
Rfam family: Bacterial small subunit ribosomal RNA
Source: RNAcentral
AUUGAACGCUGGCGGCAGGCCUAACACAUGCAAGUCGAACGAGUGGCGGACGGGUGAGUAAUGUCUGGGAAACUGCCUGAUGGAGGGGGAUAACUACUGGAAACGGUAGCUAAUACCGCAUACUAUCAGAUGUGCCCAGGUCGGAUUAGCUAGUUGGUGGGGUAAAGGCCUACCAAGGCGACGAUCCGUAACUGGUCUGAGAGGAUGAUCAGUCACACUGGAACUGAGACACGGUCCAGACUCCUACGGGAGGCAGCAGUGGGGAAUAUUGGACAAUGGGCGCAAGCCUGAUGCAGCCAUGCCGCGUGUGUGAAGAAGGUCUUCGGGUUGUAAAGCACUUUAAGUGGGGAGGCGUUACCAGCAGAAGAAGCACCGGCUAACUUCGUGCCAGCAGCCGCGGUAAUAC